Molecule: ribosomal RNA, 496 nt
Filed under: uncultured bacterium
Lineage: Bacteria
Description: partial 16S ribosomal RNA
Rfam family: Bacterial small subunit ribosomal RNA
Source: RNAcentral
GACGAACGCUGGCGGCGUGCCUAAUAUAUGCAAGUAGAACGCUGAAGCUUGGUGCUUGCACCGAGCGGAUGAGUUGCGAACGGGUGAGUAACGCGUAGGUAACCUGCCUGGUAGCGGGGGAUAACUAUUGGAAACGAUAGCUAAUACCGCAUAAGAGUAGAUGUUGCAUGACAUUUGCUUAAAAGGUGCAAUUGCAUCACUACCAGAUGGACCUGCGUUGUAUUAGCUAGUUGGUGAGGUAACGGCUCACCAAGGCAACGAUACAUAGCCGACCUGAGAGGGUGAUCGGCCACACUGGGACUGAGACACGGCCCAGACUCCUACGGGAGGCAGCAGUAGGGAAUCUUCGGCAAUGGACGGAAGUCUGACCGAGCAACGCCGCGUGAGUGAAGAAGGUUUUCGGAUCGUAAAGCUCUGUUGUAAGAGAAGAACGAGUGUGAGAGUGGAAAGUUCACACUGUGACGGUAUCUUACCAGAAAGGGACGGCUAACUACGU